Molecule: ribosomal RNA, 465 nt
Filed under: Vreelandella stevensii
Lineage: Bacteria; Pseudomonadati; Pseudomonadota; Gammaproteobacteria; Oceanospirillales; Halomonadaceae
Description: partial 16S ribosomal RNA
Rfam family: Bacterial small subunit ribosomal RNA
Source: RNAcentral
CCUACGGGUGGCAGCAGUGGGGAAUAUUGGACAAUGGGCGAAAGCCUGAUCCAGCCAUGCCGCGUGUGUGAAGAAGGCCUUCGGGUUGUAAAGCACUUUCAGUGGGGAAGAAAGCCUUGGGUCUAAUACCCUCGAGGAAGGACAUCACCCACAGAAGAAGCACCGGCUAACUCCGUGCCAGCAGCCGCGGUAAUACGGAGGGUGCGAGCGUUAAUCGGAAUUACUGGGCGUAAAGCGCGCGUAGGCGGUUUGAUAAGCCGGUUGUGAAAGCCCCGGGCUCAACCUGGGAACGGCAUCCGGAACUGUCAGGCUAGAGUGCAGGAGAGGAAGGUAGAAUUCCCGGUGUAGCGGUGAAAUGCGUAGAGAUCGGGAGGAAUACCAGUGGCGAAGGCGGCCUUCUGGACUGACACUGACGCUGAGGUGCGAAAGCGUGGGUAGCAAACAGGAUUAGAUACCCGAGUAGUC